UGGCUCAGGAUGAACGCUAGCUACAGGCUUAACACAUGCAAGUCAGGGGGCAGCGGAAUUGAAGCUUGCUUCAAUUGCCGGCGACCGGCGGCACGGGUGAGUAACGCGUAUCCAACCUUCCGUACACUCAGGGAUAGCCUUUCGAAAGAAAGAUUAAUACCUGAUGGUAUGAUGAGAUUGCAUGAUAGCAUCAUUAAAGAUUCAUCGGUGUACGAUGGGGAUGCGUUCUAUUAGGUAGUAGGCGGGGUAACGGCCCACCUAGCCUACGAUGGAUAGGGGUUCUGAGAGGAAGGUCCCCCACAUUGGAACUGAGACACGGUCCAAACUCCUACGGGAGGCAGCAGUGAGGAAUAUUGGUCAAUGGACGUAGAGUCUGAACCAGCCAAGUAGCGUGAAGGAUGAAGGUCCUACGGAUUAUAAACUUCUUUUAUAAGGGGAAUAAAACCUCCCACGUGUGGGAGCUUGUAUGUACCUUAUGAAUAAGCAUCGGCGUCGACGCGGCCG
Molecule: ribosomal RNA, 504 nt
Filed under: uncultured Bacteroidota bacterium
Lineage: Bacteria; Pseudomonadati; Bacteroidota
Description: bacterial SSU rRNA
Rfam family: Bacterial small subunit ribosomal RNA
Source: RNAcentral